AACGAACGCUGGCGGCAUGCCUAACACAUGCGAGUCGAACGAGACCUUCGGGUCUAGUGGCGCACGGGUGCGUAACGCGUGGGAACCUGCCCUUAGGUUCGGAAUAACUCCCCGAAAGGGGUGCUAAUACCGGAUAAUGUCUUCGGACCAAAGAUUUAUCGCCUUUGGAUGGGCCCGCGUUGGAUUAGCUAGUUGGUAGGGUAAAAGCCUACCAAGGCGACGAUCCAUAGCUGGUCUGAGAGGAUGAUCAGCCACACUGGGACUGAGACACGGCCCAGACUCCUACGGGAGGCGGCAGUGGGGAAUAUUGGACAAUGGGCGAAAGCCUGAUCCAGCAAUGCCGCGUGAGUGAUGAAGGCCUUAGGGUUGUAAAGCUCUUUUACCCGGGAUGAUAAUGACAGUACCGGGAGAAUAAGCUCCGGCUAACUCCGUG
This 433-nucleotide ribosomal RNA is filed under the name uncultured bacterium. RNAcentral's name for it is "partial 16S ribosomal RNA". It matches the Rfam family "Bacterial small subunit ribosomal RNA", at positions 29 to 507 of the family's 1533-position model. The record is from RNAcentral.